This is a long non-coding RNA of Puntigrus tetrazona (Sumatra barb), 1067 nucleotides long. RefSeq lists it as uncharacterized. The transcript has 3 exons. Lineage: Eukaryota; Metazoa; Chordata; Actinopteri; Cypriniformes; Cyprinidae. The record is from RefSeq and is a predicted model, not a curated record.
CUUUUGGCGGGGAUUCGUAGCCGCUAACCAAACUUGCAUACUCCCAGAACAGACGUUUGGGGUGGAGGCUGAGAAAGAAACAGAUGCCAUUCGCCUUGUUAGAAGCCAGUGUGACAUCUGAACUGAUACUUCAAGAUGGUGUAGUUACAACAUCUACCAGCAGGAGCUAAUGUGGAGCUUCCAACAGAGCCUUCACCCUUUGUAUCAGUCUGAUCAGCUCUCCAAAGCCUUUACAGGACAGAUGAAGACCGUGUUCAUCGCCAUUCAGCCCGAUUGUGUUGGCUAAUUAUGACAGUUAGUAGUGGGGAUAGUGAGAGUCAUUCACAGGCCAUUAGAGCUCAGCCCGCGAGGUGAUAUCAUCUGUCACUUCCUCAACUCCCCUGUGCAGCGCUCCAAUGUCUGUGGCAUCAGUCCGCAUCCCACAAGCCCUGAGACAUGAAGCAUUCAAUCUGCCUCGUAAGCCUUGCAUAUUAUUUCCUUUCUUUCCUUUGUGAGGUGAGCGCGCACUUAACUGAGUGUUGGUUUAAUUGCACAUUUAAAAUGAUCAGGAUAUCUGUAGCCAGAUGUGAGAUGUAGGGAACAAACCUUUCAGAAAGCUCCUUAAUGUUCCCAACUGUUUCGCAUCUAACCUCAGCAAAGGCAGUGAAAAUAAACAAGACCAUCAAAUUAUGCUUAUUUACCUUUGAGAUGCAAAUUUUCCAUUUUGCGCCGCACCUCUAUUCAAGGGCAGAGGGACGAUGAAAUGAUGAAAAAUGUGUUGAAUACCGAUCAACAGAGGCCCCUUUGUGUGCACGCUGACCUCUAACUGCAACUGCGCUAAGAAAGAUAAUGCAUUGGUCUCAUUAGAGGAACAGGAAAAACUGAGAAUUGUUUCAAUAUGACCAACAAUAAUAGCGGUUAAAUUAUCUGUAGAACCGUGAAUAAAGGGUCCGUUCAUGAAAAGAUAUGAAAAUUUUUUACUUAGUCAUGUAAUUUCAGACCUGCCUGAGUUUCUUUUUGCUGUUCUGUUUCUGUUAUGAAAAACAGCAGUGUGCUGUUGGGCUCUAAAAAUAUCUGUAUUUGUAUUA